AACGCAUAUUGCACUCUCUGGUAUUCCGGGGAGUAUGCCUGUUUGAGGGUCAGUAAAAAUAAAAAAUCUAUCAUGAAUCCUUUUUUUAAUUUAUUUUAUUAAAUCGGAACAUGGAAUUGGAUCUUUCAAAGAUUUUUCAUUAUUUUUGAUGAUCUUAAAUUUAUGUUAUAUGGCUAUAUGUAAACUGAACCAAAAAGAGCAAUUAUUUAUAAUUAAUCUCAUUUAGUGAUGUUUUAUUAAGCCAAAUAUGAUUUAUUUUUGAUAUUUAAUUAUCAAAAUAAUCAUAAACAUAUUUUAAAAAUGACCUCAAAUCAGGUAAGAGUACCCGCUGAACUUAA
This 338-nucleotide unclassified non-coding RNA is filed under the name uncultured Entrophospora. RNAcentral describes it as "uncultured Claroideoglomus sequence contains ITS2". The stretch from base 1 to 52 matches the Rfam family "5.8S ribosomal RNA", at positions 103 to 154 of the family's 154-position model. The record is from RNAcentral. Lineage: Eukaryota; Fungi; Glomeromycota; Glomeromycetes; Entrophosporales; Entrophosporaceae.